UACGGGGGGGGCAAGCGUUGUCCGGAAUCAUUGGGCGUAAAGCGCGUGUAGGCGGCCAGGUAAGUCCGUUCUGAAAGCCCGGGGCUCAACCCCGGGAGGCGGAUGGAUACUGCUUGGCUCGAGUCCGGAAGAGGCGAGUGGAAUUCCCGGUGUAGCGGUGAAAUGCGCAGAUAUCAGGAGGAACACCGAUGGCGAAGGCAGCUCGCUGGGACGUGACUGACGCUGAGACGCGAAAGCGUGGGGAGCAAACAGG
RNAcentral lists this ribosomal RNA (253 nucleotides) under uncultured bacterium. RNAcentral's name for it is "partial 16S ribosomal RNA". It matches the Rfam family "Bacterial small subunit ribosomal RNA", at positions 524 to 776 of the family's 1533-position model. The record is from RNAcentral.